Molecule: ribosomal RNA, 332 nt
Filed under: uncultured bacterium
Lineage: Bacteria
Description: bacterial SSU rRNA
Rfam family: Bacterial small subunit ribosomal RNA
Source: RNAcentral
CUCGUAGGCGGCCAACUAAGUCAGACGUGAAAUCCCUUGGCUUAACCAAGGAACUGCGUCUGAUACUGGAUGGCUUGAGUUCGGGAGAGGGAUGUGGAAUUCCAGGUGUAGCGGUGAAAUGCGUAGAUAUCUGGAGGAACACCGGUGGCGAAGGCGGCAUCCUGGACCGACACUGACGCUGAGGAGCGAAAGCCAGGGGAGCAAACGGGAUUAGAUACCCCGGUAGUCCUGGCCCUAAACGAUGAAUGCUUGGUGUGGCGGGUAUCGAUCCCUGCCGUGCCGAAGCUAACGCAUUAAGCAUUCCGCCUGGGGAGUACGGUCGCAAGGCUGAA